GUCGGGCUGCGCGAGCGCCUCGUUCCGCACAAACUAUAUCUAGUAUGGAAAUGGCCAGUCAUUCCGCGACAGGUGCGCACUCGCUGCGUUCGUUCACGUGUGCUGUUAGUGAGUGCGCCAGGCAGUCCAGCGCCGCGACACUCGACGAAGGCUGAUAGACGGUGCUGUUGGAAGUGUUGAAAUUUGGAUGAAUUUUAUGGAGAAUUUUGUGACAACCUAACGCGAACUGGCUGCUUGUCUUGUGCCGGUAUGAUUGUUGAAGAUGGUUGCUGUCGAUCAAGCAAUAAAUCUCCACGCACUUAUCCUAUGCCUGAUGUUACUUCGAAACCCUAUUAUUACCAGGUAAGUUUAGUUUGAACGUACGCACACAACAUUGCUAUUCAAAAAGUAUGCAUAGAACAGAAUGCAUGUAGGUACAUUAAUAUAAGAACAUACUCUUAUCUAAUUUAUACUUCUUUAUUGAUAUACAUAUAAAGCUGAAGAGUUUGGACACGCUGAUCUCAAGAACUACUAAACCCGUUUUGAGAUUUUUUUUACUAAUAGGAAACUGCCUUACUCCUUAGCGGUAUUAGCUAGGCUAUUCCGGGGAAACAUUUAUCCCGGUAAAACUCUUUCACGCGAGCGGAGUUGAAGGCAAAAACUAGUUUUAUAAUAAAUAAUUAUCAUAAAAGGCGCCACAGGAUAUUUUAUUAGUCUCCGGAUGUAAUUUGCACCGGAAAGAAAACAAGAUUUCAUAACAAGAACGAAUUAAAAACUAUAUCGAAAAUGAUAUAUCUAUCGAUCCACUUACAUCCGUUAAAUAUAAGCAAUAAAUCUGGCGGCUGUUAUGUAUGUUUGUGCGUUUAUUGAUUAUCCGUUGCACUGCCAAGGACGAUUUAUGAAAAUUGAUCGAUAUCUAUAUGAGGCGGGCAAAAAACUCGCUCCGGAUGAGCGUAGGCCGAAGUGGAAGGGUUCCUGAUAAAUCUCAUUUUAUUUUAUCAAAAUUUUUACUAUUUGACUUUACAUCUUAUUAAUUAAUGCGAAAGUUUGUUAAUAUUUGGAUAUUUGUUAGAAGGAAACGUAGAAAAAGCCGAACGGAUUGGGAUAAAAUUUGGUAUACGGGUAAGACCAUGUCUUGGAUAAUACAUAUAGCUAAUUUUUAUCCCGGUAAUUUGGUCUCAUGGAUUUUUUAGUAGAUGGCGCUAGCGUUGUGUUUUGUUUUAAAGACUUGCACGUAGGCAAAGGGCGUUAGUGGUGGAGUCUACGAUAAUUUUGAUAAAAUAUGGUCUUGUUUGAGUCGAUUGCAAAUUUGUUAAUUAAAACGAUUCGCACACUUUUUCUAAGAAAUAGAGAACUACGAAAGUAAUCAUACAAAUUGUACAAAUAAUAUAAAAUGUUAUGGACAACGUCGUUAGAAAAUCUGAAAGUCAUUACACCGUAAUUUCUAAUACACGAGUAUUUUGCAUUCGAUAUGGUGAUAGAAAACGUCAAGUAAUGGUAUGUAUGAGAUAU
Long non-coding RNA from Manduca sexta (tobacco hornworm), 1491 nucleotides. RefSeq lists it as uncharacterized. The transcript has 5 exons. The record is from RefSeq and is a predicted model, not a curated record. NCBI's taxonomy places the organism in Eukaryota, Metazoa, Arthropoda, Insecta, Lepidoptera, Sphingidae.